UGCCAGCAGCCGCGGUAAUAUGGAGGGUCCAAGCGUUAAUCGGAAUUACUGGGCGAAAAGAGUACGUAGGCGGCUUUUCAAGUCGGAUGUGAAAGCCCUGAGCUUAACUCAGGAACUGCAUUCGAUACUGGAUCGCUAGAGUAUAUUAGAGGAUAGUGGAAUUUCUAGUGUAGAGGUGAAAUUCGUAGAUAUUAGAAAGAAUACCAAUUGCGAAGGCAGCUUUCUGGAUCAUUACUGACACUGAGGAACGAAAGCAUGGGUAGCGAAGAGGAUUAGAUA
Molecule: ribosomal RNA, 279 nt
Filed under: uncultured bacterium
Lineage: Bacteria
Description: partial 16S ribosomal RNA
Rfam family: Bacterial small subunit ribosomal RNA
Source: RNAcentral